GAGCCUACGGGAGGCAGCAGUGAGGAAUAUUGGUCAAUGGCCGUAAGGCUGAACCAGCCAAGUAGCGUGAGGGAAGACUGCCCUAUGGGUUGUAAACCUCUUUUAUGCGGGGAUAAAGGUGUCCACGUGUGGAUGUUUGCAGGUACCGCAUGAAUAAGGACCGGCUAACUCCGUGCCAGCAGCCGCGGUAAUACGGAGGAUGCGAGCGUUAUCCGGAUUUAUUGGGUUUAAAGGGUGCGUAGGCGGAAUAUCAAGUCAGCGGUAAAAAUUCGGGGCUCAACCCCGUCGUGCCGUUGAAACUGAUG
This 305-nucleotide ribosomal RNA is filed under the name uncultured bacterium. RNAcentral describes it as "bacterial SSU rRNA". It matches the Rfam family "Bacterial small subunit ribosomal RNA", at positions 335 to 638 of the family's 1533-position model. The record is from RNAcentral.